GCCCCCAUAGCUUAAACCCCAAAAGCAUGGCACUGAAGAUGCCAAGACGGUAUGCACUACCUACCUGGGGAC
This 72-nucleotide transfer RNA is filed under the name Alectura lathami (australian brush-turkey). Its description in RNAcentral is "tRNA-Phe". Lineage: Eukaryota; Metazoa; Chordata; Aves; Galliformes; Megapodiidae. The record is from RNAcentral.